This 253-nucleotide ribosomal RNA is filed under the name Roseburia hominis A2-183. Its description in RNAcentral is "partial 16S ribosomal RNA". It matches the Rfam family "Bacterial small subunit ribosomal RNA", at positions 524 to 776 of the family's 1533-position model. The record is from RNAcentral. Lineage: Bacteria; Bacillati; Bacillota; Clostridia; Lachnospirales; Lachnospiraceae.
UACGUAUGGUGCAAGCGUUAUCCGGAUUUACUGGGUGUAAAGGGAGCGCAGGCGGUACGGCAAGUCUGAUGUGAAAUCCCGGGGCUCAACCCCGGUACUGCAUUGGAAACUGUCGGACUAGAGUGUCGGAGGGGCAAGUGGAAUUCCUAGUGUAGCGGUGAAAUGCGUAGAUAUUAGGAGGAACACCAGUGGCGAAGGCGGCUUACUGGACGAUUACUGACGCUGAGGCUCGAAAGCGUGGGGAGCAAACAGG